RNAcentral lists this long non-coding RNA (749 nucleotides) under Callithrix jacchus (white-tufted-ear marmoset). Its description in RNAcentral is "lncRNA (ENSCJAG00000071193.1)". Lineage: Eukaryota; Metazoa; Chordata; Mammalia; Primates; Cebidae. The record is from RNAcentral.
CAUAUUCCACUUCCCAGGAACCAUACUGAACCUUAAUGAGUAAUUUUCCAGCUCAUGACUGAUUUGUUAGUCUUCUGAAAUAAAAAAAAUCUCUGUGUAUCAUGGAGCUUUCUGUGCUUACUUACUAAUAUGCUCUAAUUUUUUUUUCCUUGGGAAGACUUUUGGGGAUUGACAUAAAAUGGAAAAGAGUGAGUAAAACCAGAAAUAAUGCCAGGGCCAGAUAGAAUACAGAGGCCUGCACACUGGCUUACCUUUCAUUCUUGAAGUACCUUUUCUUGCUGACUUUCUAUCCUCCUGCCCUUAACUCCUAUUGCCCUCAGUGUUGGAAAAGUACCAGAUUGAGUUUGCUCUAAAUCCUUGCUCUACUUUUCCUUUACUUGGCUGUGUAAAACUGAGUCAUUUGCUUCCACAUUCUUGAUCUCUGCUUUCUUGAGUAAGUUAUGGUCAAGAAACUUUGUUCAAAUGAACCUUCUUCAGGAAAAGUCCUACAACGAAAAUAGGCAGAAGGUCACAUGCUUGGAGCAGAGCAGAGGACAUUUCCUACUUCUACACUCCAGAGGGUUUCGGUCUUGCCAGAAGAAAUUUGAGAGAAGGUCGCAAAGUGGCUGAGGAAUUCACUAACACGACAUGAGGGCACUUUGCACAGGUGGAGAAUGUAUCCUGAGGACCUAAGCCUAAGAAUCUUCAAGAUGGGAGAGUAGAGUGAGCAAGGAUUGAGCACAAGGGCUCUUGUCCUUGGCGUGCAGCUC